GCCGAGAUGUUGUAAUAGGUAGCCAAGACAGACUUAAACUCUGUUGACCAUUAAGGUCGUGCGGGUUCGAUUCCCGCUCUCGGUA
Molecule: transfer RNA, 85 nt
Filed under: Caudoviricetes sp.
Lineage: Duplodnaviria; Heunggongvirae; Uroviricota; Caudoviricetes
Also listed under: 1 other name
Description: tRNA-Leu
Rfam family: tRNA
About the family: Transfer RNA (tRNA) molecules are approximately 80 nucleotides in length. Their secondary structure includes four short double-helical elements and three loops (D, anti-codon, and T loops).
Source: RNAcentral